GCCUCACCCUCACCGUCGGAUACAGAGGGGGCCUGAGAGCGGGGCAGACUCCGCGGCUUCCCUGCCUUCCCUGCCGACGAACAUUAACAUCCCCCCCUCUUCCUUCCCCUUCUUUUCUCCUCCCUUCCUCCUUCUAAACCUAAAGAAUGGCAAAAAAGAGUAAAGGUCCUCAAAAAUUGUGCUGAAAUUCCACGUGAAGAAAAAAUUUCAGGCAUAAAAUGUGCACCUCUCGGGCUAUACCUUAGAACCUCGUUUCCACCAACCAAGAAGAGAAAGUGCACAGAGGUGCUGGAGGACCCCGGGGACUGCCAGGUGUGGGCCCAGCACCAGGACCCCGGGGACUGCCAGGUGUGGGCCCAGCAUGAGGACCCCGGGGACUGCCAGGUGUGGGCCCAGCACGCCCGAGCAGGUGAGCCGACCCAGGGCCUGUCCCCGCGUUCACCCUUCAGCCAGGGGUUAGUCCCCGGGGGUUUCCUCCUCUCCUCCUAACCCCGUUACCGGUUACCAGCGGUGCUAGGUGGGGUCACGCAGGGCCUCCUGGGGAGAGAUGCCACAUUCUCUCCCUCUCCCUCUCUCUGGUGGAGGCCAAAUGACCAU
This 597-nucleotide long non-coding RNA is filed under the name Vulpes vulpes (red fox). RNAcentral describes it as "lncRNA (ENSVVUG00000008918.1)". The record is from RNAcentral. Lineage: Eukaryota; Metazoa; Chordata; Mammalia; Carnivora; Canidae.